This 816-nucleotide ribosomal RNA is filed under the name uncultured bacterium. Its description in RNAcentral is "bacterial SSU rRNA". It matches the Rfam family "Bacterial small subunit ribosomal RNA", at positions 8 to 796 of the family's 1533-position model. The record is from RNAcentral.
AGAGUUUGAUCAUGGCUCAGAACGAACGCUGGCGGCGUGGAUAAGACAUGCAAGUCGAGCGCUGGUUACGAGGUAGCAAUAUUUCGUAAUCGGAGCGGCGUAAGGGUGCGUAACACGUGGGUAAUCUGCCAUGAAGUCUGGAAUAACCCCGAGAAAUCGGGGCUAAUACCGGAUGUGAAAACCGGGAGGCAUCUUUUGGUUUUCAAAGUUGGGGACCGUAAGGCCUGACGCUUCAUGAUGAGCCCGCGGCCUAUCAGCUAGUUGGUGAGGUAACGGCUCACCAAGGCUAAGACGGGUAGCUGGUCUGAGAGGACGACCAGCCACACUGGAACUGAGACACGGUCCAGACACCUACGGGUGGCAGCAGUCGAGAAUUUUUCACAAUGGGCGAAAGCCUGAUGGAGCGACGCCGCGUGGGGGAUGAAUGGCUUCGGCCCGUAAACCCCUGUCAUUCGCGAACAAUGCUCCGGACCUAAUACGUUCGGAGUUGAUAGUAGCGGAAGAGGAAGGGACGGCUAACUCUGUGCCAGCAGCCGCGGUAAUACAGAGGUCCCAAGCGUUGUUCGGAUUCACUGGGCGUAAAGGGUGCGUAGGCGGUCGGAUAAGUCUGAUGUGAAAUCUCCCGAGCUCAACUCGGAAACGGCAUUGGAAACUAUUCGGCUUGAGGUCUGGAGGGGGGACUGGAAUUCUCGGUGUAGCAGUGAAAUGCGUAGAUAUCGAGAGGAACACCAGUGGCGAAGGCGAGUCCCUGGACAGGUCCUGACGCUGAGGCACGAAAGCUAGGGGAGCAAACAGGAUUAGAUACCCUAGUAGUCC